GACGAACGCUGGCGGCGUGCUUAACACAUGCAAGUCGAACGGUAAGGCCCUUCGGGGUACACGAGUGGCGAACGGGUGAGUAACACGUGGGUGAUCUGCCCUGCACUUUGGGAUAAGCCUGGGAAACUGGGUCUAAUGCCGGAUAGGACCAUGGCAUGCAUGUGCUGUGGUGGAAAGCUUUUGCGGGGUGGGAUGGGCCCGCGGCCGAUCAGCUUGUUGGUGGGGUGAUGGCCUACCAAGGCGACGACGGGUAGCCGGCCUGAGAGGGUGUCCGGCCAAACUGGGACUGAGAUACGGCCCAGACUCCUACGGGAGGCAGCAGUGGGGAAUAUUGCACAAUGGGCGCAAGCCUGAUGCAGCGACGCCGCGUGGGGGAUGACGGCCUUCGGGUUGUAAACCUCUUUCAAUAGGGACGAAGCGCAAGUGACGGUACCUAUAGAAGAAGCACCGGCCAACUACGUGCCAGCAGCCGCGGUAA
Molecule: ribosomal RNA, 478 nt
Filed under: uncultured bacterium
Lineage: Bacteria
Description: partial 16S ribosomal RNA
Rfam family: Bacterial small subunit ribosomal RNA
Source: RNAcentral